CCCUAUUAUAAAAAUUAUUAUGAUUAGUAUAUAAUGUAAAAUUAAAAUUUUUGGCGGUUAAUUAUUAUUAGGGGAGUUUGUUUAUGUAAUUACUCAUUAUAUUUUAUUAAUAUUGUGUUUAUUUAUUUCCGUUGGGGGUGUGAAUUGUAAUAGUUUAUGCUUAAAAUUCAGGUCAAGAUGUAGCAAUAAUUAAAUAAAGAAUUAGCUACAAUAAUGAAAUUAUGGAUUUAAAUUAAUGAAAUAAGUGAGGAAAUUGAACUUAAAUGUAAUUUAAAUUAGGAGGUUUUUAUGAAAUAUUUUGAUUAAUGUA
RNAcentral lists this ribosomal RNA (310 nucleotides) under Gryne coccinelloides. Its description in RNAcentral is "partial 12S ribosomal RNA". Lineage: Eukaryota; Metazoa; Arthropoda; Arachnida; Opiliones; Cosmetidae. The record is from RNAcentral.